GGGGGCGCCAUGGUUUCGACGGGGGUUGCAAAGCGGGUGAGGGCAUGUCGGGAUCGCAGAUUCCCGUUAAACACUGUAUUUAUAUAGUCGCAAACGACGAAACUUACGCUCUAGCCGCUUAAUCGCGCUAGACUCUACACCACAGGGUCCAUCGGGUGGGCUGGGUCAAACCAGCAGUAGAGUCAUUAAGAUGGAAUCGCCUUAACUCGGGUUACUUGGGUUGGGGUUAAAUUUAGGUAACUCGCUCUCCUCAAGCCUGCCCAUCGGCGUGAAAGGGAGUUAAAAUCCAAAAGAUAAGGCUAAACAUGUAGAACUCUUCGUAGAGUGCUUCCGGACGGGGGUUCGACUCCCCCCGCCUCCACCA
RNAcentral lists this transfer-messenger RNA (364 nucleotides) under Deefgea piscis. It matches the Rfam family "transfer-messenger RNA". From Rfam's summary of the family: Bacterial tmRNA, also known as 10Sa RNA or SsrA, is named for its dual tRNA and mRNA-like properties. RNAcentral also lists the same sequence under 1 other name. The record is from RNAcentral. Lineage: Bacteria; Pseudomonadati; Pseudomonadota; Betaproteobacteria; Neisseriales; Chitinibacteraceae.